AACCUGGUUGAUCCUGCCAGUAGUCAUAUGCUUGUCUCAAAGACUAAGCCAUGCACGUCUAAGUACAAACUAAAUGAUGGUGAAACUGCAAAUGGCUCAUUACAACGGUUAUGAUGUACCCGGGAGUUCCGAUGGAUAUUUCCAGUAACACUAGAACUAAUACAUGCUCCUGCGUUUAUUAGUUUCGCACAGUCCGUCGCUGAGUCAUGGUAAACAGUUGAUCGACUCGACGUCCCGGAACAGUUUCCGCCCCAUCAGCUUCGAUGGUUGGGUAUUGGCCUACCAUUGCAACAACGGGUAACGAGGAAUUAGGGUUCGAUUUCGGAGAGGGAGCCUGAGAAACGGCUACCCCCUCUUCGGAUGG
This 364-nucleotide ribosomal RNA is filed under the name uncultured marine eukaryote. RNAcentral describes it as "SSU rRNA". It matches the Rfam family "Eukaryotic small subunit ribosomal RNA", at positions 1 to 425 of the family's 1831-position model. The record is from RNAcentral.